This is a long non-coding RNA of Macrobrachium nipponense, 245 nucleotides long. RefSeq lists it as uncharacterized. The transcript is spliced from 3 exons. Lineage: Eukaryota; Metazoa; Arthropoda; Malacostraca; Decapoda; Palaemonidae. The record is from RefSeq and is a predicted model, not a curated record.
CAUGAAUGACAAGUAAUUGAGCUUCACGACUGGAUUAGGCCUUCUACGUCUUCGAAUGCUGUGGAUGAUUUUCUGUCGAAUAAGAUUUUGCCAUCGAAAAUUAAUCGAAUCAAAAGGAUUUACCCAAACAAAGAUGUCACAAGGACAACUUGCAAUGGAGGAAGGAUAUGCUGAUAGUGCUGUUGACAUCCCUGACAAUCCCCUGCCAGUGCAUAUGACUUCCCUCCCUCCUCCACCUCUCCACC